RNAcentral lists this ribosomal RNA (254 nucleotides) under uncultured bacterium. Its description in RNAcentral is "partial 16S ribosomal RNA". It matches the Rfam family "Bacterial small subunit ribosomal RNA", at positions 524 to 776 of the family's 1533-position model. The record is from RNAcentral.
UACGUAGGGGGCGAGCGUUGUCCGGAAUCAUUGGGCGUAAAGAGCUCGUAGGCGGUUCAGCAAGUCGGCUGUGAAAUUCCGAGGCUCAACCUCGGAACUGCAGUCGAUACUGCUGUGACUCGAGUCCGGUAGAGGAGAAUGGAAUUCCCGGUGUAGCGGUGAAAUGCGCAGAUAUCGGGAGGAACACCGAUAGCGAAGGCAGCUCGCUGGGACGGUACUGACGCUAAGGCGCGAAAGCGUGGGGAGCGAACAGG